GGUUUAAUUCGAUGAUACGCGAGGAACCUUACCCGGGCUUGAAUUGCAGAGGAAGGAUUUGGAGACAAUGACGCCCUUCGGGGUCUCUGUGAAGGUGCUGCAUGGUUGUCGUCAGCUCGUGCCGUGAGGUGUCGGCUUAAGUGCCAUAACGAGCGCAACCCCUCUCCUUAGUUGCCAUCAGGUCAUGCUGGGCACUCUGGGGACACUGCCACCGUAAGGUGUGA
RNAcentral lists this ribosomal RNA (224 nucleotides) under uncultured bacterium. RNAcentral describes it as "partial 16S ribosomal RNA". It matches the Rfam family "Bacterial small subunit ribosomal RNA", at positions 943 to 1167 of the family's 1533-position model. The record is from RNAcentral.